Neofelis nebulosa (Clouded leopard) is the source of this 2414-nucleotide long non-coding RNA. RefSeq lists it as uncharacterized. The transcript is spliced from 2 exons. The record is from RefSeq and is a predicted model, not a curated record. Lineage: Eukaryota; Metazoa; Chordata; Mammalia; Carnivora; Felidae.
ACACAGCCCCUAUCGCAGAAGCAGGCCCCCUCUGGACUGUAAGGGUAGGGGUGCGAAGCACCAGGGCCUUCCUGCCAGAAUGGGCAGGAGGGAGCGAAAGCUCCCCCGAGAACCUUCUUCAGAUCUGCACACGAGGCAGGCAGCAGCCUGGACACAGCCCCAGGCCCCUUCCCCUACCAUUCAUCCCUGCUGGCUCUGGGCCCAAAGUUUAGGUAAAAUUGUUUUUAUGGUUCCCUUAAGAUGCAUUUGCCUUCUUACAAAUCUACCUGUGUACGUUUUCCAUCGCCUUCUCUCUCUCUAGACUGACUGAUUCUUACGUGCGGCUGUAGAACCCAACACAGUGCCUGGUCCGGAAUGAAGGUUAAGCAUUGUCCGUGAUGAUUUUGCAGAGGGAUAUUUAGUUUUAUAGAAACAGCGCCGAGGCUCACAGACUAGAUCCUCUUCCUGUGUUUUGGCAAAGUGCUCUGUUUUAGCUGAAGUCUGAAGAGUGAUUUUGAGUUGUUCUACUUUCCCACAUCUACUGGCCCCAAAUCUGCUUCCAUCGCAUUCUUUCCCACAGCUUCCUUCAUUGAGAGCUCAUUUCAUAAACCCACUUUGCACUUGGCUCCCCGCCAUUCUCCUCUGUCGUACUCGGUCCCCACCAAUGUGGUCACGGGCUAGAAAAUCAAUAAAGCCCUUAAUCACCAUGUGCAGCAGCAACAGCAGCACUGCCCAGCUCCUAACUCAGCAGAUCCAGGAGCACCGCAGCGAGCUCUGGCAGGCGGAGGGGGCUGCACAGGACCUCUGACAGCCCGGGCUGGGGGUGGGAUUGCUUCCGUGCUCACACCGAGGCGUGACUUUUCUAAGCUGCUCGGUCUUGCUUCCUUUGCAUCCAAGGAGAUACCCUUCUCUUCACACUCAGCUUGGGAAACCUCUGGAUUCCUGCAAAGCUGGAAAUGAAGACCUGCAAAGGGUCUGAGAUUUUAUUCUGUUUGCAAGCUAACUGGUUAGUCUGCUGGCAGAACACGCAAGCCUUCCGGGCCUGGGAGAGCCAACAUGUGGGCAUUUGCCACAGGUCGACGCCGUGAACUCCCCGCGCUGCCUGCUCACGUAGCGCCUUGUGUUCCAGGAGGAGGAAUCCGAAUCCCAUGCUGAGGGAACUUGAAUCUUUUACAACGGAUGGAAAGAAUGCUGCCCUUGGUUCUGGGCAGAGGCACUCUUAUUUUUCAAAGCUGUUGGCUACACAAACCUCCUUGAAAAGAUGGUCCGCAACAAAGUAGCUGGUGCGUCUGCUCCCGAGCUGUGCCAAGAGGCCGCAAGAGCCACGUGCAGCAUUUUCUCCUGGCGGUCAGUUCCACUGAUUUUGUUUUCAACUUCAUGACAUUCUGCUUUUACUUUUAAUUUCUUCCUUCUACUUUCCUUAGAUGUUUGACAUUGUGCUUUGUCUUCAGUUUAUCUUCCCGAAUAAUCGCUUCUUUAGCAUGCAUUCUUCUUAAACUAAAAAGGUUUUAAGAUUAUAAUUUUUCCUCUGAACAAACCUUUGACGACCUGUCCUAGAUCCGAACAAGUGGUGCCCUCCUGAUCAUUAUUUGCUAAAUUAUAUAGCUUUUCUUGUUUACAGAAGUCAAAGGCUUUGAACAAAAUUCGUCAUCCCUGCAUCUCUUCGCUCUCUGGGUUCACUCUGGAAGCUACUGUCUUUUCUUCAGUCCCUUGUAUUUAAUAGGAUGUCUGUGACUGAUGUGCUAAACAAGGUUAAAUUGCACUUCAUUGCAAUUUAAGAGGAAAUGGAAUUUGGAAGAUGAGGACUCGAGUCCUGACAGCCACUUUUUACUGAUAACCAAAUAAACCAUGCGCUUUGAGUCUCCUUUUUAUCCACAAAUGUAGGAUUGAAUUACAUGAUCCCUCAUGUGUCCUUUUCAAUGUAGGGCUCUAAGACAUUUGGACUUAGUUUCAAUUACAGUGGCUUGAUGAUUUCUAGGCUGACUUGUUAGUUGAGGCAGAAACCGGAAAAGCUGAGUUCAACCCUUGCCAUGUUUUCUUGUGUGACACAUUCAGAGAGAAAGUCACGUGGCCCUGGAGGCUCAUUUCCUUCUCUUUUGUAGUAAGAAAUCUACAAAAGAUUUGUAGAUUUGGUCGGAGUCAGAUAAGAGAGGACGAGGCCGAUGCCAAAGGCGGAGACUCUUUCUAACAAGGCUGGUUCAAGGCUCAGGAAGCUCCAUCACCACAGAGUUAUCCAGAUGUUCCUGUUCUUUCUCCAAAUGUGUGUGGAGCACUGAAGGCACGGAUCCCUUUCCUGGGAUCUUCCCAAGUAUAGCUGUCCUCCCGAGCCAAGUCCGACAUACCACCCUGGGGAAUCGUGCGACCUCAGAGCCUCAUCAACGCUUAUGACUUCUGUGCCUUUAAGUGUUUCCCCAAUAAAUCUGGUUUUUACUUUA